RNAcentral lists this small RNA (128 nucleotides) under Zetaproteobacteria bacterium CG2_30_59_37. RNAcentral's name for it is "RtT sRNA". It matches the Rfam family "RtT RNA". Rfam says of the family: This family represents a bacterial cis-regulatory element known as RtT RNA. The record is from RNAcentral. RNAcentral also lists the same sequence under 6 other names. Lineage: Bacteria; Pseudomonadati; Pseudomonadota; Candidatius Mariprofundia.
GGGGAGAAUCGCAGGGGUGGGUGAGGACCCGCGACUACGGUUCGACAAAUCAGCGUGCUGAUUUGAACGCCGCUUGCGGCGGCCCGCAGGGCGAGUGCGUAGCCCGCGUGAUUCCACUGUCUCCGCAG